This 1104-nucleotide ribosomal RNA is filed under the name uncultured bacterium. RNAcentral describes it as "bacterial SSU rRNA". It matches the Rfam family "Bacterial small subunit ribosomal RNA", at positions 8 to 1107 of the family's 1533-position model. The record is from RNAcentral.
AGAGUUUGAUCCUGGCUCAGGAUGAACGCUAGCGGCAGGCCUAAUACAUGCAAGUCGAGGGGCAGCAGGGAUAGCAAUAUUCGCUGGCGACCGGCGCACGGGUGCGUAACACGUAUACAAUCUGCCUUUAACAGGGGGAUAGCCCGGAGAAAUCCGGAUUAAUACCCCAUAACAGAUCGAAUGGCAUCAUUUGAUUUUAAAAGCUCCGGCGGUUAGAGAUGAGUAUGCGACUGAUUAGCUAGUUGGUGAGGUAACGGCUCACCAAGGCGACGAUCAGUAGGGGAUCUGAGAGGAUUAACCCCCACACGGAUACUGAGACACGGAUCCGACUCCUACGGGAGGCAGCAGUAAGGAAUAUUGGACAAUGCCCGCAAGGGUGAUCCAGCCAUGCCGCGUGCAGGAAGACGGCCCUAUGGGUUGUAAACUGCUUUUACACCGGAGAAAACCCCCCUACGUGUAGGGGGCUGAUAGUAUGGUGAGAAUAAGCAUCGGCUAACUUCGUGCCAGCAGCCGCGGUAAGACGAAAGAUGCAAGCGUUAUCCGGAUUCAUUGGGUUUAAAGGGAGCGUAGGUGGCCUUAUAAGUCAGUGGUGAAAUCUCUCGGCUUAACCGAGAAAUUGCCAUUGAUACUGUAGGGCUUGAGUAUAGUUGCCGUUGGCGGAAUAUGACAUGUAGUGGUGAAAUACAUAGAGAUGUCAUAGAACACCGAUUGCGAAGGCAGCUGACGAAACUAUAACUGACACUGAGGCUCGAAAGUGCGGGGAUCAAACAGGAUUAGAUACCCUGGUAGUCCGCACUGUAAACGAUGAUUACUCGCUGCUAGAGGGCAACUUUUAGUGGCUUAGCGAAAGCGAUAAGUAAUCCACCUGGGGAGUACGCUCGCAAGAGUGAAACUCAAAGGAAUUGACGGGGGCCCGCACAAGCGGAGGAGUAUGUGGUUUAAUUCGAUGAUACGCGAGGAACCCUUACCUGGGCUUGAAAGUUAGUUGACGAACUCUGAAAGAGUUUUUCCGCAAGGACACGAACUUAGUUGCUGCAAUGGCCUGUCGGUCAGCUCCGUGCGUGUAGGCUAUUGUUAAGUUCCGGCAUCGGAGCGCAACUCUCU